RNAcentral lists this ribosomal RNA (519 nucleotides) under Triticum aestivum (bread wheat). RNAcentral describes it as "partial small subunit ribosomal RNA". The record is from RNAcentral. Lineage: Eukaryota; Viridiplantae; Streptophyta; Magnoliopsida; Poales; Poaceae.
AUGGUUUGCGAUGACUCGUUUGUUGCCCACCAUUGCGUGCUCGCAGCUCGGUCUGCUGUCUUCAGUGCAGAGCUCUUUGGCCCUAUGAAGGAGGGCGCAAUCGGAAGUGUCAUCCAUGUAGAAGACAUGGAAGCAAAAGUGUUUAAGGCCUUGCUUAGCUUUAUUUACAUCGACUCACUACCCGAGAUGGAGAUAGAUAUGGUGGAGGAGGAAAUAGAAGUUGAAGAAGCGUUGUGGCUGCAACACUUACUCGUAGCGGCAGAUAGAUAUGACCUACAAAGGCUGAAGGCACUCUGUGAAGAGAAGUUAUGCAAACAUAUAGAUGUGGGCUCAGUAAACACUAUUUUAGCUCUAGCCGAGGGGCAUAACUGUUGUGUUUUGAAGGAGUUAUCCCUUGAGUUUCUCAAGACUCCUUCUAAUUUGAAAGACAUAAUGGCGACCGACAGAUUGGACGAUAUAAUCAGAACCUGCCCCUCUCUUGUAAAGGAGCUCAUUGCCAAGUUAGCUUCCCUCAAAUAG